AUGGGUGCUUUGGUCUAUGUCUGGUGGUUCAUCUAUGGAUUAUGUUACCUAUUUGUUGGAUUGGGUAUUAGGAACUGUGAUGUUAUUCGUGACAAGUUACUAAUCUUCAGUUCUUCCUCAUCGCGUAUCUGUUACCCCAACCUAGGAGCUAUAGAACUAAUGUGGCUUUUGUCCAUACUUUGCGUACAACAAAACUGUAAUACAACAUCAGUGGCAACAAAGCCUUCAUUCCCAAGCAUGUUUGUGCAGGCUAGAGAUGAAACACACAACAUGAGCCGCAGAAACCCAAGCAAAAAGUUAAUAAUUUUGGCCACAUGA
This 318-nucleotide ribosomal RNA is filed under the name Triticum aestivum (bread wheat). RNAcentral describes it as "partial small subunit ribosomal RNA". The record is from RNAcentral. Lineage: Eukaryota; Viridiplantae; Streptophyta; Magnoliopsida; Poales; Poaceae.